RNAcentral lists this ribosomal RNA (301 nucleotides) under uncultured bacterium. RNAcentral's name for it is "partial 16S ribosomal RNA". It matches the Rfam family "Bacterial small subunit ribosomal RNA", at positions 509 to 808 of the family's 1533-position model. The record is from RNAcentral.
CAGUCGCCGCGGUAAUACGUAGGUCCCGAGCGCUGUCCGGAUUUAUUGGGCGUAAAGCGAGCGCAGGCGGUUAGAUAAGUCUGAAGUUAAAGGCUGUGGCUUAACCAUAGUACGCUUUGGAAACUGUUUAACUUGAGUGCAAGAGGGGAGAGUGGAAUUCCAUGUGUAGCGGUGAAAUGCGUAGAUAUAUGGAGGAACACCGGUGGCGAAAGCGGCUCUCUGGUCUGUCACUGACGCUGAGGCUCGAAAGCGUGGGUAGCGAACAGGAUUAGAUACCCCGGUAGUCCCUGUCUCUUAUACA